AGAGUUUGAUCAUGGCUCAGAAUCAACGCUGGCGGCGCGCUUAACACAUGCAAGUCGCACGAGAAAGGGGCAACCUGAGUAAAGUGGCGUACGGGUGAGUAACACGUGGGUAAUCUACCUUCUGGUGGGGAAUAACGCUGGGAAACCGGCGCUAAUACCGCAUAAUCUCGAGAGAGCAAAGCAGCAAUGCGCCGGAAGAG
RNAcentral lists this ribosomal RNA (200 nucleotides) under uncultured bacterium. RNAcentral's name for it is "partial 16S ribosomal RNA". It matches the Rfam family "Bacterial small subunit ribosomal RNA", at positions 8 to 226 of the family's 1533-position model. The record is from RNAcentral.